Molecule: ribosomal RNA, 497 nt
Filed under: uncultured bacterium
Lineage: Bacteria
Description: partial 16S ribosomal RNA
Rfam family: Bacterial small subunit ribosomal RNA
Source: RNAcentral
GAUGAACGCUGGCGGCAUGCCUAAUACAUGCAAGUCGAGCGGAAAGACAAUGAGCGUGCUCCUUUGCCGGUGGCGGCGGGCGGGCGGGUAACAAAUGGAUCAGCUACCUCUAUUACGUGGAUGACUUCGGGGAACAGCAUCCGAUACUGGAUAAUAUGUUGUACCGGAGGAAGCAAUAGUGCAUCGGGCCUUUGCUGUUCCAAAUAGAUGGUUCCGGGCCGGAUUAGCUAGUUGGUAAGGUAACGGCCUACCAAGGCAACGAGGCGUAGCCGACCUGAGAGGAUGAUCGGCCACACUGGAACUGAGACACGGUCCAGACUCCUACGGGAGGCAGCAGUAGGGAAUCUUGGACAAUGGGCGAAAGCCUGAUGCAGCAACACCGCGUGAGUGAUGAAGGUCUUCGGAUCGUAAAACCCUUUUAUUAGGAAAGAAAAACUGCAUGAGAAAAUAUGCAUGUCCUGACGGUACCUAAUCAGAAAGCCCCGGCUAACUACGUG